AGUCCAGAUUCUGUUACAGGUGCCCCCAAUGGGGGAGAAUAGGGAAUCAGGCCUUAAUCCUGAGCGGACCCACCACUGUAAGAAGGGAGUCCCGUACAUUGGCCACUGGCUGAGGCUGGGAAGGCGUACGGUGAUGAUGAUCUUUGAGCCAGAAGACCUGCCUGUAAUCAAUGAGAUAA
Molecule: non-coding RNA, 179 nt
Filed under: Desulfosporosinus orientis
Lineage: Bacteria; Bacillati; Bacillota; Clostridia; Eubacteriales; Desulfitobacteriaceae
Also listed under: 1 other name
Source: RNAcentral